AGAUGACGACAAUCUAAAGCACCCAAGCAAUGCAAUUAAACUUGGCUUUGACAUCAAACAUGAUUUCUGGAAAAUUUGAUCGAGCAAUAAUACAGGGAGACCAAAAAGCAUAUGGUGAAGGGGAAGUCCUCCUGCAGGCAAUGGCAAUCUACUGGGCAACAGGAGUAACAAAAUGGCCAAAGUUCUUCCGCAGCAGAGGAUGUAUAGGAAAAGUUUGAGCACUUGAAAGCUGCCAUUGCUGAUUUUGAUUUGUCUAAAAAGGACCUGGAAACUGUUUGUAGAAUGUAGGAGGUUUUUUCUGCAAGUCUACUCCUGUACAAUCAAAGGCGACCUGGAGAACUCUAGGCUAUUGGAUUGACAGACUACAAAGAGUGACAAGAGGAGGAAGAUGUCAAACAUUUGAUUGGAGAUUGUACAGCAUUUGAAAGGAAACUGUUAGAGAACCAGGUGGUUAUCACAGUGUGAGGAAAGACCAGAAGAGGAGUACCUAUUAUAAUUCCAGCAGAUGCAAGGAAACCGACUGACUACCUCACAAAUGAAUGGGUUAGAAGAGAUGCAGGGAUCCUGGAAAAGAAUCUUUGGUGUUUGCCUGAAAAGGUCUUUGAUCCAAAUGAAAUGGAAUGGGUUAUCAAUCAUAUGGGCCACUCACUUGACAAUCAUUAGAUACAUUACAGGUGCACAGAUGAUGUCUUAGAAGAAACACAAAUAGCCAAGAUACUACUACUACAAGACCGUGUGGGAGUUUUGGACAAAUCCCUACAAGACAUCCAAAUAGAAGACCUUAUCCAGGAGUCAUCAUUAGCUGAAGGGGAUGAAUAUGAGGAUUUACACCAUAUGACAUCACCUGACAUUGUGGGUGCCAUUGAGCUAUGUGAUUAUUCUGUGUUAAAUAUCGCCGAAAAAUUUUAUGAUGAAUAUAUAUUGAAGCCCAUUAAAAAACGAAAGUCUGCUGCUCUUCAAUAAACAGAAAAAUACCUUGACCCAUUUUCAAGGUCACAGGGAUAAAUGUUUUAAUAAUCUUGGAAAUGAUUUCUUCUUAAUAUCCAAAAAAAGUUCUGGUGAGCGGCCCGUAGUAUGCUGGAAUGAAUUAUGUUCAUGUUAUCUAUAUUUUCACUUUUUAAAGGUCAUAAGGGUCAAAUUUGUUAAAAUCUUUUAAUGACUUCUUGUCAAUUACAAAAAGGUCAAGGCUGUUAAAAUUGGUUUUUCAAUGUUAGUGGAUGAAGGACAAUCGUUUUGUUCAAAUGAUUGACCUUGACCUAUGUUAAAGAUCUUUUUGGUUAAGCGAGUUUAGAUUAAAUUUUUUUUAAUAAGCAAUAGGUUCGGAAUAAUAGCAUUUGUGUAGUAGCAUGUAUAAAGAGUGAUUUUUAGAUUUGCAGAAAAUGUUUCUAUGACCAAACAGUAUCUUUGUAUGCUGUAGAGUAGUUGAGAAUGCCCAUGGGCCUCCUGUUUAUAAACCAUUGGCAGGGUUGUUAUAACUUUAAUUAAACAGCAUUUCAUACAAACAGCACUUCAUACUAGAUAGUAAAGAGUUGGAAAGAAUUUCUUGCAUUUUGCCCAUCUAUUGUAAAUUAAUAUACAUCUUUUACUUCUUUUGAAAACCCCUGAGCCAAUUUUAAUGAAAUUUGGUAGAUAUUUUCAUGGCCAAUGGAAUGAAGUACAAUGUCUCCGAACUAGGGGACUUUGGCAGUGUCGAAUUGCAUAAAAUUUUCAAAAUCUCCAACACUCAGAUAUGGAAGAAUCAAAUACUUUUCAUAGAUAGAAGGGUUUUUGAGAUGCUUUAACCCAAAUUAUGAUUUUCACGAUCCUUACAUUUUCCCGUGGGGAGGGGAAUUAAGUCAGCUCAUAUAGAUUUUUUUAGAAUCCAUAAUAUAGGAUGACCGUUAAUUAUGUUUAUGGAAUUCAGGUGACUGUUAGACCAUUGGGCCUUUUCUUAUGUCAAGACACUGUCAUGCAGUGUUGAAAGUUUGGUUGAAGAAUUAGAAGAUUUGAUAUGAGUUAUGUUGCUACCAAAUAGUUCUACAUUUUUUGAAAUUCUUUUAUGGUGUCCAGAUCUGGAAAAGUAAGUUUUCAGUUUUUGUCAUUUUUACAUCAUCUGACCGUGGGUAAGGUUUUGUAUUUGUUAGACUUUGAAAAAGUAUUUGAUUCUAUCAAAUGGAAUUUUGUCAAAAAAAGCUCUACACUCCUUCAAUUUUGGGCCCUCUCUCCGCCAUUGGUUAGAAAUUUUAUACAAACAUUCAAAAAGUUGCAUAAUAAACAAUGGCCAUCUCUCUAAUUUAGGGUGUGGUUGUCGUCAAGGUGACCCACUCACCAUAUAUUUUUGUAAUAGUGGUAGAACUUUUACCAAUAGCGAUUAAAGCUAACAAGGAUGUAAAAGGUAUUAUUAUUAAUAACAGGGAUCUAUGUUUGAUUCUGUAUGCUGAUGAUGCUUAAUUACUAAUGGAUGGUUCUGAAAAAUCUCUCAAAUCAGUUGUUAAUUUGUUAAAACAAUUUGCUAAAAUCAUUUCAGGGUUAAAAAUAAAUUUACAUAAAUCAAGUUUAUAUUGGAUUGGAAAUAAAAAAUUUUGAGAGGAACAUGUAUGUUUUUGGAAAGAUGCAAUUAAGUCUCUUGCAGAAUUAGUCAGAACCAAAAACUCUUGAUGAGCAUCUUGGGGAAAUUAUCUUUAAUCUGUCAACAUUUGAAUCUUUUAGACAUUUCACACAAUGGAAACAACAUGGAUUAAAGACUAUAUCUGAUAUUUUUGAUAAUCAUGGUAAUGUUAAAAAUUUUAUUGAAUUCCAAGGAACACCUGGUUUACACUAUUUAAAAUAUUAUGCACUAGUCAGAAAAGUAGAUAGAAAAUGGAAACAAGAAUAUAGGGAAGAAUUUCUUAAUGGAAUAAAUGUUAGGCCAUUAAAAAGAAAAGACAUACUUUCAAUGAUGUUAUCAAAAACCAAUUCCACAUUUUUAUAUUCCAUGUUUACUGCCAAAUAAAAUUAAAAGCCAAGAGAAAUGGCAAUCAGUAUUAAACUUUCAAACAUCUCCAAUGGAUUGGAGUAGUUUAUACAAGAAUGUAUCCAAUUAUACACAGGAGACAAAAUUACAAACAUUUCAGUAUAAGAUAUGUCACAGGAUCCUACCAACCAAUGAUUUAUUGUACAAAAUGCAGAUUGUUCCCAAUAACAAAUGUACUUUCUGUCAAAGAGAACCUGAAACAGUGGAACACAUCUUUUCUAAAUGUUUUUAUUCAGUACAAAUUUUUGAGGUUUACCACUGGUAUUCACACUAUGAUCCAAUUGACCUAUAUUAUUUUAGAGAAAUUGACAUCUUGUUUGGCAAUCAAUGGUUCAGUAAGUUUUUAAACCUCUUUCUCCUCCUCACAAAACAUCACAUAUACUACAGUCAAGUUAAUCAUUUAAUACCAAACUUUUUGGCACGUAAAUCUAUUUUCAAAAAAGUAAUGACUGUUGAAAAAUUUAUUGCCCAAAAGAACAACAGUGUUGGAUUUUGAGCAAAAAUGGGGAAUUUUCCAGGUCUUCUUUGAGAUAAUAUAUUUUAAUUUUCAUCUACUGGUAUCAAAGUUCUUCAGUUUUUUGUUUUUGAGGUGUUAUCAUUUAGGCAAUAAAAUGGAUUUAUGUCCCUUAAAAGUCUCCUUUAAUCAGAAGAAAUAGAAACCCCAACCUUCCCCCUAAAGGCCUCCAUCAGUCCAAAGGUCCUUGUUUGUUAUUGCAAGAUAUUUAGUGUGCGUUAUGUAUGAAAGGUGUGUGAAAAUUUUUAUGUGUGAAAGGUGUGUGAAAAUUUUUAUCAACUUUUAUAAAACAAAACUAUUUUAUUAUAUUAUAUUAUAUGAACUGUUUGAAAGUGCUGUGAAGAAGUUGUGAAAAAAGAGAUAAAAAAAUAGACUGUAAAUAUUUAUAUUUUGUACGUAUGAAUGGUGUGUGGUGUGCGAGAACCCUUCUGUGGAGAGGGCAUCAUUUGUAAGGGACUGAUCCCAGGGCCCCAACCCUGGCAGUCUCAAUU
Molecule: long non-coding RNA, 3997 nt
Organism: Ylistrum balloti
Lineage: Eukaryota; Metazoa; Mollusca; Bivalvia; Pectinida; Pectinidae
Exons: 6
Source: RefSeq, a predicted model, not a curated record